RNAcentral lists this ribosomal RNA (2902 nucleotides) under Klebsiella pneumoniae. RNAcentral describes it as "23S ribosomal RNA". It matches the Rfam family "Bacterial large subunit ribosomal RNA". Lineage: Bacteria; Pseudomonadati; Pseudomonadota; Gammaproteobacteria; Enterobacterales; Enterobacteriaceae. The record is from RNAcentral.
GGUUAAGCGACUAAGCGUACACGGUGGAUGCCCUGGCAGUCAGAGGCGAUGAAGGACGUGCUAAUCUGCGAAAAGCGUCGGUAAGGUGAUAUGAACCGUUACAGCCGGCGAUGUCCGAAUGGGGAAACCCAGUGCAAUUCGUUGCACUAUCGUUAACUGAAUACAUAGGUUAACGAGGCGAACCGGGGGAACUGAAACAUCUAAGUACCCCGAGGAAAAGAAAUCAACCGAGAUUCCCCCAGUAGCGGCGAGCGAACGGGGAGCAGCCCAGAGUCUGAAUCAGCUUGUGUGUUAGUGGAACGGUCUGGAAAGUCCGACGGUACAGGGUGAUAGUCCCGUACACCAAAAUGCACAGGCUGUGAACUCGAAGAGUAGGGCGGGACACGUGGUAUCCUGUCUGAAUAUGGGGGGACCAUCCUCCAAGGCUAAAUACUCCUGACUGACCGAUAGUGAACCAGUACCGUGAGGGAAAGGCGAAAAGAACCCCGGCGAGGGGAGUGAAAAAGAACCUGAAACCGUGUACGUACAAGCAGUGGGAGCACCUUCGGGUGUGACUGCGUACCUUUUGUAUAAUGGGUCAGCGACUUAUAUUCUGUAGCAAGGUUAACCGUAUAGGGGAGCCGCAGGGAAACCGAGUCUUAACUGGGCGUUAAGUUGCAGGGUAUAGACCCGAAACCCGGUGAUCUAGCCAUGGGCAGGUUGAAGGUUGGGUAACACUAACUGGAGGACCGAACCGACUAAUGUUGAAAAAUUAGCGGAUGACUUGUGGCUGGGGGUGAAAGGCCAAUCAAACCGGGAGAUAGCUGGUUCUCCCCGAAAGCUAUUUAGGUAGCGCCUCGUGAAUUCAUCUUCGGGGGUAGAGCACUGUUUCGGCUAGGGGGUCAUCCCGACUUACCAACCCGAUGCAAACUACGAAUACCGAAGAAUGUUAUCACGGGAGACACACGGCGGGUGCUAACGUCCGUCGUGAAGAGGGAAACAACCCAGACCGCCAGCUAAGGUCCCAAAGUCAUGGUUAAGUGGGAAACGAUGUGGGAAGGCACAGACAGCCAGGAUGUUGGCUUAGAAGCAGCCAUCAUUUAAAGAAAGCGUAAUAGCUCACUGGUCGAGUCGGCCUGCGCGGAAGAUGUAACGGGGCUAAACCAUGCACCGAAGCUGCGGCAGCGACACUAUGUGUUGUUGGGUAGGGGAGCGUUCUGUAAGCCUGCGAAGGUGUGCUGUGAGGCAUGCUGGAGGUAUCAGAAGUGCGAAUGCUGACAUAAGUAACGAUAAAGCGGGUGAAAAGCCCGCUCGCCGGAAGACCAAGGGUUCCUGUCCAACGUUAAUCGGGGCAGGGUGAGUCGACCCCUAAGGCGAGGCCGAAAGGCGUAGUCGAUGGGAAACAGGUUAAUAUUCCUGUACUUGGUGUUACUGCGAAGGGGGGACGGAGAAGGCUAUGUUAGCCGGGCGACGGUUGUCCCGGUUUAAGCAUGUAGGCUGAUUGUCCAGGCAAAUCCGGAUAAUCAAGGCUGAGGUGUGAUGACGAGGCACUACGGUGCUGAAGUAACAAAUGCCCUGCUUCCAGGAAAAGCCUCUAAGCAUCAGGUAACAUCAAAUCGUACCCCAAACCGACACAGGUGGUCAGGUAGAGAAUACCAAGGCGCUUGAGAGAACUCGGGUGAAGGAACUAGGCAAAAUGGUGCCGUAACUUCGGGAGAAGGCACGCUGGUGUGUAGGUGAAGUCCCUGCGGAUGGAGCUGAGACCAGUCGAAGAUACCAGCUGGCUGCAACUGUUUAUUAAAAACACAGCACUGUGCAAACACGAAAGUGGACGUAUACGGUGUGACGCCUGCCCGGUGCCGGAAGGUUAAUUGAUGGGGUUAUCCGUAAGGAGAAGCUCUUGAUCGAAGCCCCGGUAAACGGCGGCCGUAACUAUAACGGUCCUAAGGUAGCGAAAUUCCUUGUCGGGUAAGUUCCGACCUGCACGAAUGGCGUAAUGAUGGCCAGGCUGUCUCCACCCGAGACUCAGUGAAAUUGAACUCGCUGUGAAGAUGCAGUGUACCCGCGGCAAGACGGAAAGACCCCGUGAACCUUUACUAUAGCUUGACACUGAACAUUGAGCCUUGAUGUGUAGGAUAGGUGGGAGGCUUUGAAGCGUGGACGCCAGUCUGCGUGGAGCCAACCUUGAAAUACCACCCUUUAAUGUUUGAUGUUCUAACGUUGGCCCCUGACCGGGGUUGCGGACAGUGUCUGGUGGGUAGUUUGACUGGGGCGGUCUCCUCCCAAAGCGUAACGGAGGAGCACGAAGGUUAGCUAAUCCUGGUCGGACAUCAGGAGGUUAGUGCAAUGGCAUAAGCUAGCUUGACUGCGAGCGUGACGGCGCGAGCAGGUGCGAAAGCAGGUCAUAGUGAUCCGGUGGUUCUGAAUGGAAGGGCCAUCGCUCAACGGAUAAAAGGUACUCCGGGGAUAACAGGCUGAUACCGCCCAAGAGUUCAUAUCGACGGCGGUGUUUGGCACCUCGAUGUCGGCUCAUCACAUCCUGGGGCUGAAGUAGGUCCCAAGGGUAUGGCUGUUCGCCAUUUAAAGUGGUACGCGAGCUGGGUUUAGAACGUCGUGAGACAGUUCGGUCCCUAUCUGCCGUGGGCGCUGGAGAAUUGAGGGGGGCUGCUCCUAGUACGAGAGGACCGGAGUGGACGCAUCACUGGUGUUCGGGUUGUCAUGCCAAUGGCACUGCCCGGUAGCUAAAUGCGGAAGAGAUAAGUGCUGAAAGCAUCUAAGCACGAAACUUGCCCCGAGAUGAGUUCUCCCUGAGACUUUAAGUCUCCUGAAGGAACGUUAAAGACGAUGACGUUGAUAGGCCGGGUGUGUAAGCGCAGCGAUGCGUUGAGCUAACCGGUACUAAUGAACCGUGAGGCUUAACCUU